Molecule: long non-coding RNA, 463 nt
Organism: Poeciliopsis prolifica (blackstripe livebearer)
Lineage: Eukaryota; Metazoa; Chordata; Actinopteri; Cyprinodontiformes; Poeciliidae
Exons: 3
Source: RefSeq, a predicted model, not a curated record
GGGUCAUUACAGGCAGACAAAGUUCAAUGUGUCCACUGGGUGGCGCUGCUUUCUCCACAUGCAGGUUCACCGCCAGUCAAUCUGACUGGCGGGCAGAGACUGAGUUACCUGGAGAUGUUAUAAAAAUGUUUACCCAGCCCGGCAACAGACCAGUUUAAUGUACGUAGCAAUACUAGCAUCACUCAAGUAAAGGAAAAAGAUCAGUGCUGAUGAAGAGGAGCUCUCCUCCUCUUCCUCUCCUGAGUCAUAGCUCCUCCCUGCUCUUCCUCCUCCUCUUCCUCAGUGUGCGUCUCCCUCCGUCUGCAGCAUGGCGUCUCUCGGCCUCCUGCUGCUCGGCGCCGCUCUGCUCCACGCCACUCAGUCUCUACCUGCAGCUCUUGGUGGUGGGCGUGGCCUGGACAUCUCAAUGGGCGGGAUCAGACGACAGCGCAGAGACCUCCACAACGGGCUGCCAUAUGACGAU